RNAcentral lists this ribosomal RNA (465 nucleotides) under uncultured bacterium. RNAcentral describes it as "partial 16S ribosomal RNA". It matches the Rfam family "Bacterial small subunit ribosomal RNA", at positions 28 to 507 of the family's 1533-position model. The record is from RNAcentral.
GACGAACGCUGGCGGCGUGCUUAACACAUGCAAGUCGAACGGAAAGGCCCUGCUUGCAGGGUACUCGAGUGGCGAACGGGUGAGUAACACGUGGGUGAUCUGCCCUGCACUUCGGGAUAAGCCUGGGAAACUGGGUCUAAUACCGGAUAGGAGCCAUUUUUAGUGUGAUGGUUGGAAAGUUUUUUCGGUGUAGGAUGAGCUCGCGGCCUAUCAGCUUGUUGGUGGGGUAAUGGCCUACCAAGGCGGCGACGGGUAGCCGGCCUGAGAGGGUGGACGCCCACAUUGGGACUGAGAUACGGCCCAGACUCCUACGGGAGGCAGCGGUGGGGAAUAUUGCACAAUGGGCGCAAGCCUGAUGCAGCGACGCCGCGUGGGGGAUGACGGCCUUCGGGUUGUAAACUCCUUUCGCUAGGGACGAAGCUUUUUGUGACGGUACCUAGAUAAGAAGCACCGGCUAACUACGUG